Molecule: long non-coding RNA, 844 nt
Organism: Cyprinus carpio carpio
Lineage: Eukaryota; Metazoa; Chordata; Actinopteri; Cypriniformes; Cyprinidae
Source: Ensembl
CUUGUCCUAGUUCAGUGUGAAAAGACUGCAUGCAGUUGUCGUUUUCAGCGUGUUUUCUCUGCAAACAGCUCCUGAACAAGCUUUCUACCCUGCACCGGGACGAGACGAUGGACCCACCUCAGAUGUUUCUUUAUAAACGAUCCCUCUAAUCUGCCGGAGAUCACAAUACUCCAGCGUAUUUACACUCGCAGCAGCACACAGUCUGUUCUCUCCUGCACAAAUAUACAGCACCUCGAUUAAGAAAUAAUACAAUUUAGAAAGAGCGGGGUGUUUUAUUCUCUCAUGUUGGGGAAAUAUGCUCUCUAAUCCUCCAGUAUAAGGACCAUCUGUGUAAAUGUGGCUCUGGUGGGACGGGACAGUCACGAUUCUGACAUAUGAAUCCAGUGAUACGGAUGGUUACUGCUGGCGUCAGGACAAUCCACAUGCAUUACAGAGGAUCCGCUUACUAAACAAGUAAUCAUGAGACAAAGCAUUAAAUAUAAGACAGUUCUUGCCGUUGAGGAAAAUGAUUUACCCAGCACUAAUUUCCAGUAAGUGUCCUUUGUCAGGAUAUUAUUACAUUCCUGUACUCAGUCGAGCAGAAAUAUGAGCAGCGGGUGAAAGAGCUUCUGGACGGACGCAGGAUGGAUUUUCACUGGAAGUGGAUUCUGGAAGUCCAUGACUGGGCUCUGAACUCGAGGUUCAUGUGUGAGUAGUAAGUGAUCUGAUCGACUGAUUGAUGGCAGUAAAUAUGAAGAUAAUGGUGCAUAUAAAUGGACUAGAAUGUGUUUGAUUUCUACUUUCCUACACACUUCGUUGACGCCCUACAAAGCUUGUGUCUUUACACCCAUAAUUUCUUCACCCA